UGGACAGCCAUGCCGCGUGCAGGAAGACUGCCCUAUGGGUUGUAAACUGCUUUUAUCCGGGAAUAAACCACAUUACGUGUAAUGUGCUGAAUGUACCGGAAGAAUAAGGAUCGGCUAACUCCGUGCCAGCAGCCGCGGUAAUACGGAGGAUCCAAGCGUUAUCCGGAUUUAUUGGGUUUAAAGGGUGCGUAGGCGGCCUGUUAAGUCAGGGGUGAAAGACGGUAGCUCAACUAUCGCAGUGCCCUUGAUACUGAUGGGCUUGAAUGGACUAGAGGUAGGCGGAAUGAGACAAGUAGCGGUGAAAUGCAUAGAUAUGUCUCAGAACACCGAUUGCGAAGGCAGCUUACUAUGGUCUUAUUGACGCUGAGGCACGAAAGCGUGGGGAUCAAACAGGAUUAGAUACCCUGGUAGUCCACGCCCUAAACGAUGAACACUCGCUGUUGGCGAUACACAGUCAGCGGCUAAGCGAAAGCGUUAAGUGUUCCACCUGGGGAGUACGCUCGCAAGAGUGAAACUCAAGG
RNAcentral lists this ribosomal RNA (521 nucleotides) under uncultured Pedobacter sp. Its description in RNAcentral is "bacterial SSU rRNA". It matches the Rfam family "Bacterial small subunit ribosomal RNA", at positions 385 to 906 of the family's 1533-position model. The record is from RNAcentral. Lineage: Bacteria; Pseudomonadati; Bacteroidota; Sphingobacteriia; Sphingobacteriales; Sphingobacteriaceae.